UCAGUCACCGUCACCGUUAACGUUAUUGAAUUUAGCUAUCAGCGACGACGUUUUGGUUUCCAUCACCACCAGCCUCAACAACGCCAACCGCACCGUCUUCGUCUACCCACCGCUCCACGGGGGUGCACUCCUCCUUAUGCCUUAGCUUCCAAUCAAGCGCUUGGCAUGCGCGUGAGCAGUAAUUCACAGCCCCACAAACGGAACAUCUUCGGAACUCAUGUUUUCUAGUCUCUGGUCUUCCGCAGCCGACGUGAGAGCAUAAACGGAGCCCCGGACCGGGUAUACCGCCACGGGACGCGAACCACUCGGCCAUGAACUGACUAGCUGGGUGUGCCUCCGGGGCCGGAACAUUACACCCGAAAUCGCUCAACAAAGGACAUCCCGGACCACUUGCAUGCCGAUGGUUGGGGUGAGCGUGUGGGUUCCAUGGAAGCCAUGCGCGUGUAUUAAGACCAGAAUUAGGGUUAGACAGCACAGCGGCCAACUCCCGAGCGUUGGCUUGAACGAGGAAUCGGCGUCCCUCGGCGACGUUUUGCCGGACGCCGUAGCCGUCCUGAAGGCAGUGACCGAGUUCACGAAGGGCGUCGAUAUGGCCUAG
RNAcentral lists this unclassified non-coding RNA (598 nucleotides) under Hevea brasiliensis (rubber tree). Lineage: Eukaryota; Viridiplantae; Streptophyta; Magnoliopsida; Malpighiales; Euphorbiaceae. The record is from RNAcentral.